CUGAUUUAGUCAUGAGUAUAUGAAACCUCUUUGAAAAUCACCUCUUUGAAAGAUGUGAAACCUUACAAAACGGGAUUGAAGUUUCACGCCAAAUCAUUACAUACUUGGAAGCAGUUUAACUACAUGUCCUGAGAAUGGUAUAAGAUACAUGCCUGUGCAAGAAGACAUACAUGGAAAGUAAGGGAAGACUUCUACCCGCCGGAGCAUUGAGAAAAAUUCAGAAUUACACCCUCAUCCCUGCAACAAGAAUGUAUAGAUCAACUAACCAUUCUUACAAAAUGGGCUCUUGAAAACGCACAACAAUCACCAAAUCUACCCUUUACGUGAUGGGUCAGGUUAUUGAUUUGGAAGAAUUAAAAACAAUUCAGUGUUAAGGAUGAAACCUGAGUUUACUCUUGAAGACAUCAAAACAUUAAAAUCAAUUCCAAAAGAACAAGCAAGAUAAUCCCUCAUUUAUAAGACAGCUCAAUACUGGAUUCAUACAAAAGUUAUAUGUGUUUUGUGAGGUAUUUUAUCGACUGUGAGUAAUAUCUUUCAUCAUUUUACAAUUGUAAUUAUUUUUCUAUUGUGACAGACAUACCAAGAAUUAAGAAUGAAAUGAUCGAUUACUACGAUGAGUAUCUUCACGUGUAAAACAAAUUCAAAGCAAGAAAGAGA
Long non-coding RNA from Raphanus sativus (radish), 657 nucleotides. RefSeq lists it as uncharacterized. The transcript has 4 exons. The record is from RefSeq and is a predicted model, not a curated record. Lineage: Eukaryota; Viridiplantae; Streptophyta; Magnoliopsida; Brassicales; Brassicaceae.